This 253-nucleotide ribosomal RNA is filed under the name uncultured bacterium. RNAcentral describes it as "partial 16S ribosomal RNA". It matches the Rfam family "Bacterial small subunit ribosomal RNA", at positions 524 to 776 of the family's 1533-position model. The record is from RNAcentral.
UACAGAGGGUGCAAACGUUGCUCGGAAUUAUUGGGCGUAAAGCGCGUGUAGGCGGCUUGUUAAGUUGGUUGUGAAAACCCAUGGCUCAACCAUGGAAGGGCGUCCAAAACUGGCAAGCUAGAGUCCUGACGAGGAUGGCGGAAUUCCCAGUGUAGAGGUGAAAUUCGUAGAUAUUGGGAGGAACACCGGUGGCGGAGGCGGCUCGCUGGGCCGGUCCUGACGCUCGGGCGCGAAAGCGUGGGGAGCGAUCCGG